GUGAGGAAUUUUCCGCAAUGGGCGAAAGCAUGACGGAGCAAUGCCGCGUGAAGGAUGAAGGCCUAUGGGUUGUAAACUUCUUUUCUCAGAAAAGAAUUAUGACGGUAUCUGAGGAAUAAGCAUCGGCUAACUCUGUGCCAGCAGCCGCGGUAAGACAGAGGAUGCAAGCGUUAUCCGGAAUGAUUGGGCGUAAAGCGUCUGUAGGUUGUUUAAAAAGUAUUCUGUCAAAGAUUAGGGCUUAACCCUAGAUAGGCAGAAUAAACUUUUAAGCUAGAGUUUGAUAGAGGCAGAGGAAAUUCCCGGUGGAGCGGUGAAAUGCGUAGAUAUCGGGAGGAACACCAAAGGCGAAGGCAAUCUUCUGGGCCAAUACUAACACUGAGAGACGAAAGCGAGGGGAGCAAAUGGGAUUAGAAACACGAGUAGUCC
Molecule: ribosomal RNA, 426 nt
Filed under: uncultured bacterium
Lineage: Bacteria
Description: bacterial SSU rRNA
Rfam family: Bacterial small subunit ribosomal RNA
Source: RNAcentral